This 253-nucleotide ribosomal RNA is filed under the name uncultured bacterium. RNAcentral describes it as "partial 16S ribosomal RNA". It matches the Rfam family "Bacterial small subunit ribosomal RNA", at positions 524 to 776 of the family's 1533-position model. The record is from RNAcentral.
UACGGAGGGUGCAAGCGUUAAUCGGAAUUACUGGGCGUAAAGCGCGCGUAGGCGGUUUUUUAAGUCGGAUGUGAAAGCCCCGGGCUCAACCUGGGAACUGCAUUCGAUACUGGAAGACUAGAAUGCGGGAGAGGGAGGUAGAAUUCCAUGUGUAGCAGUGAAAUGCGUAGAUAUAUGGAGGAAUACCAGUGGCGAAGGCGGCCUCCUGGCUCGACAUUGACGCUGAGGUGCGAAAGCGUGGGGAGCAAACGGG